UUAAGCGACUAAGCGUACACGGUGGAUGCCCUGGCAGUCAGAGGCGAUGAAGGACGUGCUAAUCUGCGAAAAGCGUCGGUAAGGUGAUAUGAACCGUUAUAACCGGCGAUGUCCGAAUGGGGAAACCCAGUGCAAUUCGUUGCACUAUCGUUAACUGAAUACAUAGGUUAACGAGGCGAACCGGGGGAACUGAAACAUCUAAGUACCCCGAGGAAAAGAAAUCAACCGAGAUUCCCCCAGUAGCGGCGAGCGAACGGGGAGCAGCCCAGAGUCUGAAUCAGCUUGUGUGUUAGUGGAACGGUCUGGAAAGUCCGACGGUACAGGGUGAUAGUCCCGUACACCAAAAUGCACAGGUUGUGAACUCGAAGAGUAGGGCGGGACACGUGGUAUCCUGUCUGAAUAUGGGGGGACCAUCCUCCAAGGCUAAAUACUCCUGACUGACCGAUAGUGAACCAGUACCGUGAGGGAAAGGCGAAAAGAACCCCGGCGAGGGGAGUGAAAAAGAACCUGAAACCGUGUACGUACAAGCAGUGGGAGCACCUUCGGGUGUGACUGCGUACCUUUUGUAUAAUGGGUCAGCGACUUAUAUUCUGUAGCAAGGUUAACCGUAUAGGGGAGCCGCAGGGAAACCGAGUCUUAACUGGGCGUUAAGUUGCAGGGUAUAGACCCGAAACCCGGUGAUCUAGCCAUGGGCAGGUUGAAGGUUGGGUAACACUAACUGGAGGACCGAACCGACUAAUGUUGAAAAAUUAGCGGAUGACUUGUGGCUGGGGGUGAAAGGCCAAUCAAACCGGGAGAUAGCUGGUUCUCCCCGAAAGCUAUUUAGGUAGCGCCUCGUGAACUCAUCUUCGGGGGUAGAGCACUGUUUCGGCUAGGGGGUCAUCCCGACUUACCAACCCGAUGCAAACUACGAAUACCGAAGAAUGUUAUCACGGGAGACACACGGCGGGUGCUAACGUCCGUCGUGAAGAGGGAAACAACCCAGACCGCCAGCUAAGGUCCCAAAGUCAUGGUUAAGUGGGAAACGAUGUGGGAAGGCACAGACAGCCAGGAUGUUGGCUUAGAAGCAGCCAUCAUUUAAAGAAAGCGUAAUAGCUCACUGGUCGAGUCGGCCUGCGCGGAAGAUGUAACGGGGCUAAACCAUGCACCGAAGCUGCGGCAGCGACACUAUGUGUUGUUGGGUAGGGGAGCGUUCUGUAAGCCUGCGAAGGUGACCUGUGAGGGUUGCUGGAGGUAUCAGAAGUGCGAAUGCUGACAUAAGUAACGAUAAAGCGGGUGAAAAGCCCGCUCGCCGGAAGACCAAGGGUUCCUGUCCAACGUUAAUCGGGGCAGGGUGAGUCGACCCCUAAGGCGAGGCCGAAAGGCGUAGUCGAUGGGAAACAGGUUAAUAUUCCUGUACUUGGUGUUACUGCGAAGGGGGGACGGAGAAGGCUAUGUUAGCCGGGCGACGGUUGUCCCGGUUUAAGCAUGUAGGCUGGUUGUCCAGGCAAAUCCGGAUAAUCAAGGCUGAGGUGUGAUGACGAGGCACUACGGUGCUGAAGUAACAAAUGCCCUGCUUCCAGGAAAAGCCUCUAAGCAUCAGGUAACAUUAAAUCGUACCCCAAACCGACACAGGUGGUCAGGUAGAGAAUACCAAGGCGCUUGAGAGAACUCGGGUGAAGGAACUAGGCAAAAUGGUGCCGUAACUUCGGGAGAAGGCACGCUGGUGUGUAGGUGAAGCCCCUGCGGGUGGAGCUGAGACCAGUCGAAGAUACCAGCUGGCUGCAACUGUUUAUUAAAAACACAGCACUGUGCAAACACGAAAGUGGACGUAUACGGUGUGACGCCUGCCCGGUGCCGGAAGGUUAAUUGAUGGGGUUAUCCGUAAGGAGAAGCUCUUGAUCGAAGCCCCGGUAAACGGCGGCCGUAACUAUAACGGUCCUAAGGUAGCGAAAUUCCUUGUCGGGUAAGUUCCGACCUGCACGAAUGGCGUAAUGAUGGCCAGGCUGUCUCCACCCGAGACUCAGUGAAAUUGAACUCGCUGUGAAGAUGCAGUGUACCCGCGGCAAGACGGAAAGACCCCGUGAACCUUUACUAUAGCUUGACACUGAACAUUGAGCCUUGAUGUGUAGGAUAGGUGGGAGGCUUUGAAGCGUGGACGCCAGUCUGCGUGGAGCCAACCUUGAAAUACCACCCUUUAAUGUUUGAUGUUCUAACGUUGGCCCCUUACCGGGGUUGCGGACAGUGUCUGGUGGGUAGUUUGACUGGGGCGGUCUCCUCCUAAAGCGUAACGGAGGAGCACGAAGGUUAGCUAAUCCUGGUCGGACAUCAGGAGGUUAGUGCAAUGGCAUAAGCUAGCUUGACUGCGAGCGUGACGGCGCGAGCAGGUGCGAAAGCAGGUCAUAGUGAUCCGGUGGUUCUGAAUGGAAGGGCCAUCGCUCAACGGAUAAAAGGUACUCCGGGGAUAACAGGCUGAUACCGCCCAAGAGUUCAUAUCGACGGCGGUGUUUGGCACCUCGAUGUCGGCUCAUCACAUCCUGGGGCUGAAGUAGGUCCCAAGGGUAUGGCUGUUCGCCAUUUAAAGUGGUACGCGAGCUGGGUUUAGAACGUCGUGAGACAGUUCGGUCCCUAUCUGCCGUGGGCGCUGGAGAAUUGAGGGGGGCUGCUCCUAGUACGAGAGGACCGGAGUGGACGCAUCACUGGUGUUCGGGUUGUCAUGCCAAUGGCACUGCCCGGUAGCUAAAUGCGGAAGAGAUAAGUGCUGAAAGCAUCUAAGCACGAAACUUGCCCCGAGAUGAGUUCUCCCUGAGACUUUAAGUCUCCUGAAGGAACGUUGAAGACGACGACGUUGAUAGGCCGGGUGUGUAAGCGCAGCGAUGCGUUGAGCUAACCGGUACUAAUGAACCGUGAGGCUUAACCUU
Molecule: ribosomal RNA, 2900 nt
Filed under: Klebsiella pneumoniae
Lineage: Bacteria; Pseudomonadati; Pseudomonadota; Gammaproteobacteria; Enterobacterales; Enterobacteriaceae
Also listed under: 2 other names
Description: bacterial LSU rRNA
Rfam family: Bacterial large subunit ribosomal RNA
Source: RNAcentral